AGACCACAGAUUAACAUAUAUUGUUUCAGAACAGGAAAACAAUAUUGAAUUAUUGAAAACAAAUUAGGCGGGGUAGAACAUCAUAGGUGGCCUUACUUUCGGGAUAGAUCAAACUAAAGGGGUUCUGCCUUAACAUCAUUGUUGGCUUUACUAUCGGGAUAGAUCAAACUAAUGGAGUUCUGCUUUAACAUCAUUGUUGUCCUAACAUUCUGAAUAUAUCAAACAAAUGGUGUUCCGCCUUACCAUAAUUGUUGGCCUUACAAUCGUGAAAGAUCAAAUUAACUUGGUUCUGUCUAAACCUCAUUGUUGAUCUAACAAUCAGGAUAGAUCAAACUAAUGGGGUUCUUCCUUAAUAUCGGUUUUGUCCUUUCAAUCGGGGUAGAUCAAACUAAUAGGGUUCUGUCUUAAUAACAGUUUUGUCCUUACAAUCGGGGUAGAUCAAACUAAUGGGGUUCUGCCUUAAUAACAGUUUUGUCCUUACAAUCAAGGUAGAUCAAACUAAUGGGGUUCUUCCUUAAUAACAGUUUUGUCCUUACAAUCGGGAUAGAUCAAACUGAUGGGGUUCUGCCUUAAUAACAGUUUUGUCCUUACAAUCGGGGUAGAUCAAACUAAUGGGGUUCUUCCUUAAUAUCAUCGUUGUCCUUACAAUUUUGAUAGAUCAAACUAAUGGGGUUCUGCCUUAAAAACAGUUUUGUCCUUACAAUCGGGGUAGAUCAAACAAAUCGGAAUCGGCCAUUACAUAAUUGUUGGCAUUACUAUGGAUGCAGAACAAUUAAUGGGUUGGUGCCUAAAAAUUAGUGUUGGUCUUUCAAUCGAGGCAGAACAAUAUUAAUGGGGUUCUGCCUGAACAAUAUUGCUGGCCUUGCAAUCAAGGUAGAAAAACUAAUGGGGUUCUGCCUGAAUCUAAUUGUAGGCCAUACAAUCGAGGUUUUACAAUCGAGGCAGAGCAAUUAAUGGGGUUCUGCCUUAAUAUUAUUGUUGGCCUUACCAUCGAGGCUGAACAACUAAUAGGGUUUAGCCUGAACAUUAUUGUUGGCCAUACAAUCGAGGCAGAGCAAUAAAGGGGGUUCUGCCUUAGCAUUAUUGUUGGCCUAACAAUCGAGGCAGAAUUUUAAAUGGGGUUGUGCCUAAACAUUAUUGUUGGCCUUACAAUCGAGGCAGAACAAAUAAUGGGUUGGUGCCUAAACAUAAUUGUUGAAAACAAAUUUUGGUCUUACAAUCGUGGCAAACAAAGUAAUGGGGCUCUGCCUGAGCUUCAUUGUUGGCUUUACAAUCGGGGUAAAUUAAACAAAUGGGGAGGUGCCUAAACAUUAUUGUUGGCCUUACAAUCUAGGUAGAACUAAUAAUGGAAUGUUGCCUAAACAUAAUUGUUGACCUUACAAUCGAGGCAGAUUAAACUAAUUGGGAGGUGCCUUAACAUUGUUGUUGGCCUUACAAUCGAGGCAGACACACUAAUGAGGUUCUGCCUGAACAAUAUUGUUGGCCUUACAUUCGUGGUAGAUCAAUUAAUGGGAAGGUGGCUUAACAUAAUUGUAAGCCUUACAAUCGAGGCAGAACAAGUAAUGGAUUGGUUCCUAAACAAAAACAAAGUUACUGGCUUUACAUUUAAGGCAGAACAAACUAAUUGGGUGGUGCCUAAAUAUAAUUGUUGGCCUUUCAGUCGAGGCAGAUCAAAGUUAUUGGGUGGUGCUUAGAAAAAGUCAAAUGUGGUAGUGCCUGAACCAUAUUGCUGGCUUUACAUUCGAGGCGGACAAACUAAUGGGGUAGUGCCUAAACACAAUUAUUUGCAAUCGGGGUAAAUCAAACUAAUGGGGUAGUGCCUACACACAGUUCCUGGCUUUACAAUCAAUGUAUAUCAAACUAAUGGGGUAGUGCCUACACACAGUUUCUGGCCUUCCAAUCAAGGUAUAUCAAACUAAUGGGCUAGUGCCUACACACAGUUUCUGGCCUUACAAUCAAGGUAUAUCAAACUAAUGGGGUAGUGCCUACACACAGUUUCUGGCCUUACAAUCAAUGUAUAUCAAACUAAUGGGGUAGUGCCUACACACAGUUUCUGGCCUUACAAUAAAUGUAUAUCAAACUAAUGGGGUAGUGCCUGAACAUUAUUGUUUGCCUUACAAUAGUGGUGCAUGUAGCUGCCUUGUAUUUUCAAAUGUCAUUCACAUUUUGUGAUUCGCUAGAGUUGUUUGUUUUUGUUAUUUGUCUCAGUGAUUGCUGUUUUUCUCUAAUCAUUUAUGGUCGGAAUGCGGCCCGAGCGGGCAAUAACUGUUAUAAUUCCAGUUACUGCAAUGAAAACCUGUGCAUUUUGUUUCUGAUAUUGAUAUAACAAAACGUUUAAAUCUGGAGUUCAAUAACUUUUACCAUUCUCCAUUACAACAACAACAAGGCAAUUUAUAUAGUCAGUUGAUUUACAAUGUCUUGUAAAAGCUGACAGAAGAAAUAAUCCAUGAAGUGUUAAAGCUUGAAUCUAAAAUCAAUGUGUUAAUAUCCGCAAAUGCUUAAUGUUUAUCUUUAAUUUGUAUUAAGUACCGGAGUCUUUAAACCAAUUUCAUCAGAAAAAAGCACUGUCUUUUAGCUAGACUAUUGGAAAGAUAUGGAGAGCCAUAUUUCUCACUCUAGCGUCAGUGUCAGUAGUGGCGUCGGGGUCGGUGUCGACGUCACACCGUAGUUAAGGUUUUGCUUGUACGCAAAAUAUUGAGAUAACCAUAUUUUGCAUUAAAUGCAAAUUAUGGCCCUGUAUGAAUCGACAUAGAAAUAUUGUUAAGCUAUGCAUUUAACAAGUUAUAGGUAAUAUCACACCAUUUGAUUGAUGUUUUGCAUUUAGAAUUUAUCAAGCGGUACAAAACCUAAAUAACCAAGUUAGAUAACUCUAUUUUACACAUGAUGUAAAUUAUGGCCCUUUAUUAUUUGACUAAGAAAUUCUGGUUAAGAUUUUCAAGUCAGUAUAUAUCUCAGCAAAUACAUCAUGUAUUGCAUUGAAACUUUUUAAAUGUGUUUCCAACCAUCCAAUCUACUAAAUGUAUGGGGUAAGAUAGCAUUGCCUUACAAAAAUGUUUAUUAUGUUCCUUUAUUAUUUUACUGAGAAAUUCUGGUUUAGUUUUUUAAUACAUGUAAGCACUCGUUGGUUAUAAUAUCAACAACUAUGUUAUGUAUUGCAUUUGAACUUUGUACAACGGUACGCAACCGUCAAACGUACUUGAAAAAUUAAGUUAGAUAAUAUUAAUAUGAACAGCUACAGAAACAAGCUCAGCAGCCAAAAGUUAAAACAUAAACCCCGUUUAAAACUUUAUUUUGAAAAUAGUGGAGAAAAUGGCCCUUUAUUAUUUGAUUUAGAAAUUUGGAUAAGGGGUUGCACUUUACCUCAUGUAAGUCAAAUUCUUUUUAUAAAAAAAAAUCAUGUAUUGCAAUGAAACUUAAGACAGGUGUUCCAACUAUCCCAUAUACUUAUGUAAUCAAGUAACUUGCAAAAAAACUUUAUUCUGCAAUUAAUGAUAAUGCAAAAUAAAGGCCGUUUAUUAUUCGACUUAAAAAUUCAGAUAAAGAAUUGGCAUAUAAUCUUAUUUAACAUUGAUCCAAAACCUUAACAAUCCUUUAACUUAUAAAUGGCGGAAUAGUCGAGCGCGCUGUCUCUGUGAAGGCUUUGUUAGCUUCAUCUUUUGUUUGAAAAAAUGUCCUCUUUUUAAAUAUUGGCAACCGAAACAUGGAAAAUACUAAGCAAUUGAUGAAAAUGACGCAGAUCUUUUCACUACGUCGCUACCCGUCGUACGCCCCUUUACAAAUAGUUAUAACUGAUGACGUACCUUUCUAAUAACUCCCUUUUUGAAAAGUGUGUUUUCUGCGCGGCUACCCGCAUCUCACGCAUAAUUAUAACUUUAUUUUUCAUGACGCCCACUAUGAGCUGGACAGACAGACAACAAACGACUGCGAGGACAAGAUGAUUACCAUUCUUGAGGACCCACGGUAACUCAUACAUGAUAUCUUCGCAAAGCAAGCCACUAAAAAUGUAACAAAGGAUACAUGUGUUUUCAGUCAUUCCUCACUGUCAGUGGCAAGUCUGAUUCGUUUCAAGACAGGUUGUUAUCAAGUUCAAAGCAAAGAUUGCAAAGGAACCGACUUUAAUGACUUAGGCCUUACACAAAUUGCUGCAGACAGAUUUAGACGUCGACCAAUCUCUACAAAUAACCGAGGGUCAGAUGAUUGAUUGGCUACGCACAGAAGUAUAAGGCCACAGGGGCACUGGACUACACCUACUGCUCAGAAAAUACAUCAAACAGUCUAAAACUGACGAAUUAUGUCCACGUAUGCAAGAUGCUACGUAGAAAUCGACAGCAUCUGAAACCGACAGCGGCUGAAUUUCAGCAUGUUCAACAUGAUGUUCCCAGUGAUCCUAGUGUAGUUAGUGCUAAUAAAUCAAAUGAUGCAAGUGUCAAUCUUGAGAAUGUUUCCGAGAAUCAGCCAGUUCCAGCAGAUGAGAGUGAUAAGUUAAAAGCUUAUUAGUGUUGUAGGGAAAAAGCUAAUCAAGGUGAUGUGAAAAUCACAAGAUUAUGCUAAAGUGUAAAAGUUCAAGCAAAGUUUGAUGAGUGUGUGUGUUAUCCAGUUGAAGUGUUUGUGUAAAUGGUCAUAAGUGUUAAAAUAUCUAAAAGAAAGCUGUGAAUCAACUACAAUCAUCCAUAGAAUUCAAGCAACAUAAUCAGAAGAAACAAAGACCUACAAGUUUGGAACUGUCACCAACUAAUGUGUCAUAUAUUUUAGUUUCUUAAUUUCUCAUAAGAAUACCUUAAUGUUUACUAUGAUUGUGUAAAAUGUACUGUUAACUAUUAUUAGUUCAUGUUAAAUAUGGGGUUUUAAGUCGACUCUUAGAUAUGCUUUAAAAAAAAUAACAUUUAAUUAAUAAGUAAUGAAUUACUUAAGUGUUAAAUUGUUUCUGUUUUCUACCUUUAAAGAAAAUAGAUCAUGCAAUAUGUUUAAACUUUAUUUGAGAUAGUACUGUGAACAUUUAAAGAAGGGAGAUGGCACAGAUUUGAUUAUAUUUAA
Mya arenaria is the source of this 5034-nucleotide long non-coding RNA. RefSeq lists it as uncharacterized. The record is from RefSeq and is a predicted model, not a curated record. The transcript is spliced from 4 exons. Lineage: Eukaryota; Metazoa; Mollusca; Bivalvia; Myida; Myidae.